AUUGAAUGCUGGCGGCAUGCCUUACACAUGCAAGUCGAACGGCAGCAUAGGAGCUUGCUCCUGAUGGCGAGUGGCGAACGGGUGAGUAAUAUAUCGGAACGUGCCCUAGAGUGGGGGAUAACUAGUCGAAAGACUAGCUAAUACCGCAUACGAUCUACGGAUGAAAGUGGGGGAUCGCAAGACCUCAUGCUCCUGGAGCGGCCGAUAUCUGAUUAGCUAGUUGGUGGGGUAAAAGCUCACCAAGGCGACGAUCAGUAGCUGGUCUGAGAGGAGGACCAGCCACACUGGGACUGAGACACGGCCCAGACUCCUACGGGAGGCAGCAGUGGGGAAUUUUGGACAAUGGGGGCAACCCUGAUCCAGCAAUGCCGCGUGAGUGAAGAAGGCCUUCGGGUUGUAAAGCUCUUUUGUCAGGGAAGAAACGGUUCUGGAUAAUACCUGGGACUAAUGACGGUACCUGAAGAAUAAGCACCGGCUAACUACGUGCCAGCCGCCGCCGUAA
RNAcentral lists this ribosomal RNA (502 nucleotides) under uncultured bacterium. RNAcentral's name for it is "partial 16S ribosomal RNA". It matches the Rfam family "Bacterial small subunit ribosomal RNA", at positions 30 to 523 of the family's 1533-position model. The record is from RNAcentral.